AAGUUUGAAGCGAAUCGCACUUAGUUUCGACCUAAUUUUUGAUGAUUCAAUCAUCCAAACUUU
This 63-nucleotide transfer RNA is filed under the name Euroleon nostras. RNAcentral's name for it is "tRNA-Arg". The record is from RNAcentral. Lineage: Eukaryota; Metazoa; Arthropoda; Insecta; Neuroptera; Myrmeleontidae.